Molecule: long non-coding RNA, 1564 nt
Organism: Papaver somniferum (opium poppy)
Lineage: Eukaryota; Viridiplantae; Streptophyta; Magnoliopsida; Ranunculales; Papaveraceae
Exons: 7
Source: RefSeq, a predicted model, not a curated record
AACAGAUACCAUGAUUCGUGAGCUUGAAAGGAUAAAGUAGAAUAGUUAACUGAAGAAAGAAGGAAUUAAUCAAUUGGAAUACAGAAUUGAAAGAAUCAAUCAAUAAACAUGUACGCGUGGGUCUUUCAAUGAUGAGAUGAAAGAAAUAGUUGAGCUGGAAAUGGCAACGAAGGGUAUGUUGAAAUGGGUUGAGAAGAAUACGGAUCUCAAGAAAACAAAGAUCAACUUUACAAGCAUGUCACUUACUCAUGGCAGGAGCAUGGAUUGGGGAGGUGACAAAGAUGGCAGCUGUUAUAACCAAACGACUCCAAUUAAAGAUCCGUCGUAUUGGGGAAACUGAUCGCGUAAGAGCAUAAUGAGAGUAAUCAGAGACGUGUUUAAUAAAACUAAGGUUGUCUUCAGUGAGAUUUGGAAGGUAAAAUAAGAGCAUGGAGGCCAAUAGAAUAUGCCGUGUAAAGGUUUCAACUUUUUCCAGAAGCACCACGUCAGAUAUUUUGCCCUAUAGUACUUCUCUCCAUGUUUUUAUAGUGACCGGAUUCUAUUACGGAUGCUCAAGUUUGAAGAUGUAUUUCCAUGUGGAUAGAUCACUCCACGCCACCAAUGCUAAAUGUAUUUUCAUUUGAUGUUGUUCGAAGGGGGAAUGAUGAGAUGGUAAUAUAUAAGUCAUAAGAGGUAAAGUCUGGCAUUGCAUGGGUACCAAUGUGUUCCAAUUAAGUAACAUCACUCAUUCUGCAAUAGUGUAUGCCCAAACGUCAUACGGGCUCCAUAAACUACAUGUUACUGUCACUUAUGACACUAAUUUUUCUUAAGAACUUCAAUGAAGAUCGAGAAUAUGAAAAUUCCAAGUAUUGGUGUUGCUUAUGAUCGAGGUUGAAGUGUGAAUCAUGAUUAAGUUGAUUGUUAAAACAUUUGUUUGGCAUCACAUUUCACAGAUAUGAAAUGAAUUUCAUCAUGCCCUAUGAAACACUGCUAAUGUACUCACGAUAAUCCCAGGUAUUGUAUGAAUGUCGACGUUAUUUCUGUAAGUUGUUGGUCUCAUUUUCCUUUGUCACUGUUGCUAGAUGAAUUUUCAGAGUUGCCAACCACACUAUAUUUGGGAAUUCCUGUUUUAAUAACAAGUAUAAAGAGAUAUUUGAGAUACAGUUUUUCGACGAUAGAUAAACUUCAUCCAAAAGGUGGAAAUAUUUGCAAAGGUGCCACUUCUAUCACUAAAUGAUCCUAUGGUAAACAUGGUGAAUAUCUUUGGGGGCUGCAUUAGAAUAACAUAGGAAAAAGAAAUUCUUAACUAAUAGAGAGGUCUCGCUUGAAGUUGAAAACUUAUGUACUUCCAAGUUUGUAGUGUUAGGCCAGGGUUUGAUGAAGAACCGAAGUACUCAGAUAUCUAUCCAAGUUAAGUAAUUGGAUAUGGGCUCUGGAGAAGAAGAUAUCAUCACUGCUUAAACACUUGGUGGUUGAACAAGAUUACUAUUUUUUUUCCAGAUCCGUAAUGCCUUCUCACCUUGGAAUAAUUUUUUUUUUUUUUUUUUUUUGGAAUUCGAUGAUUUUUAGUUUUAUUUUUAGACGA